RNAcentral lists this unclassified non-coding RNA (302 nucleotides) under uncultured fungus. Its description in RNAcentral is "partial contains 5.8S ribosomal RNA, internal transcribed spacer 2, and large subunit ribosomal RNA". The stretch from base 1 to 52 matches the Rfam family "5.8S ribosomal RNA", at positions 103 to 154 of the family's 154-position model. RNAcentral also lists the same sequence under 1 other name. Lineage: Eukaryota; Fungi. The record is from RNAcentral.
AACGCACCUUGCGCUCCUUGGUAUUCCGAGGAGCAUGCCUGUUUGAGUGUCAUUAAAUUCUCAACCUUUUCAGCUUUUUUACAAAGUUGAAUAGGCUUGGAUAUGGGGGUUGCGGGCUUCUCAGAAGUCGGCUCCUCUUAAAUGCAUUAGCAAAAUCUUUGUGGACCAGCUCUGGUGUGAUAAUUAUCUACGCCUUUGCCUGUUAACACAUCUUUAUAGGAUUUAGCUUCUAACCGUCCAUUGACUUGGACAAUUUCUGACAUUUUGACCUCAAAUCAGGUAGGACUACCCGCUGAACUUAA